RNAcentral lists this ribosomal RNA (409 nucleotides) under uncultured Limnohabitans sp. Its description in RNAcentral is "bacterial SSU rRNA". It matches the Rfam family "Bacterial small subunit ribosomal RNA", at positions 1 to 419 of the family's 1533-position model. Lineage: Bacteria; Pseudomonadati; Pseudomonadota; Betaproteobacteria; Burkholderiales; Comamonadaceae. The record is from RNAcentral.
GAUCGAGUUUGAUCCUGGCUCAGAUUGAACGCUGGCGGAAUGCUUUACACAUGCAAGUCGAACGGUAGAGGGGGCAACCCCUUGAGAGUGGCGAACGGGUGAGUAAUGCAUCGGAACGUGCCCAGUCGUGGGGGAUAACGUAGUGAAAAUUACGCUAAUACCGCAUACGAUCUAAGGAUGAAAGCGGGGACUCGCAAGAGCCUCGCGCGAUUGGAGCGGCCGAUAUCAGAUUAGGUAGUUGGUGGGUAAAGGCUCACCAAGCCAACGAUCUGUAGCUGGUCUGAGAGGACGACCAGCCACACUGGAACUGAGACACGGUCCAGACUCCUACGGGGAGCAGCAGUAGGGAAUAUUGGGCAAUGGACGCAUGUCUGAUCCCAGCCAUGCCGCGUGCAGGAUGAAGGCCUUC